UAAUUCGAUUGUAACAAAGCACGCGAGCUCAACCAAAAACUAUGCCCUCGUAGCCGUAGAUGCCCCGGACGUUGGGAGCUGUUGUUUCGUUCUGGCAUUCAGUCAUUUUCUCUUUCUUUAGCCAUUCUUGAUCUGUAGGACGCUCACUAGAGCUCUUCCAAACGCUUGAUUUUCGGAAAAUUUAUUUGCGAAGGUCGUCACUCCUCUUUGACGCUUCAUGGCUCCCUUCAAGAGCAUUCUCUCCCUUCCUAGGGUGGCUCUAGUCCGUCGCUCCAGUGAGAAGUGGGACUCAAUCUGCAGAUCAUUCAGUACUCAAUUUGCAACUACCUCAAGCACUCCACAACCUCCACCUCCACCCCCACCUCCUGAGAAAACCCAUUUCGGCGGCCUGAAAGAUGAGGACCGCAUCUUCACAAACCUCUAUGGGUUGCAUGACCCAUUCCUGAAGGGUGCUAUGAAGCGAGGUGACUGGUACAGAACCAAAGAUUUGGUGCUUAAGGGCUCCGAUUGGAUUGUAAAUGAGAUGAAGAAAUCUGGUCUCCGUGGCCGUGGUGGAGCCGGUUUUCCAUCUGGCCUCAAGUGGUCUUUCAUGCCGAAGGUGUCUGAUGGCCGCCCUUCUUAUCUUGUUGUGAAUGCUGAUGAGAGUGAACCAGGAACAUGCAAGGACAGGGAAAUAAUGCGCCAUGACCCACAUAAAUUACUUGAAGGUUGCCUGAUUGCGGGUGUAGGUAUGCGGGCUACUGCUGCUUAUAUCUAUAUAAGGGGAGAAUAUGUAAAUGAGCGUAAAAACCUUGAGAAAGCAAGGAAAGAAGCUUAUCAAGCUGGAUUGUUGGGAAAGAAUGCAUGUGGGUCUGGCUAUGAUUUUGAUGUUUAUAUCCACUAUGGAGCUGGGGCUUACAUUUGUGGUGAAGAGACAGCAUUGUUGGAGAGCCUUGAAGGAAAACAAGGGAAGCCGAGGUUGAAACCUCCUUUCCCAGCUAAUGCAGGGCUAUAUGGUUGUCCAACAACGGUUACAAAUGUGGAAACUGUGGCUGUUUCUCCAACCAUUUUGAGGCGGGGACCUGAAUGGUUUGCUAGUUUUGGUAGGAAGAACAAUUCUGGGACAAAGCUAUUCUGUAUCUCAGGUCAUGUGAAUAAGCCUUGUACUGUUGAAGAGGAGAUGAGCAUUCCAUUGAAAGAAUUGAUAGAGAGGCACUGUGGAGGGGUUAGAGGUGGAUGGGACAAUCUGCUUGCAGUGAUACCAGGGGGUUCUUCUGUUCCAUUGAUUCCUAAGCACAUAUGUGAUGAUGUAUUGAUGGAUUAUGAUGCACUCAAGGCUGUUCAAUCAGGUUUAGGGACAGCUGCUGUUAUCGUGAUGGACAAGUCAACUGAUGUUGUGAAUGCAAUUGCUCGGCUCUCUUACUUCUACAAGCACGAAAGCUGUGGGCAGUGCACACCCUGCAGGGAGGGAACAGGAUGGCUGUGGAUGAUCAUGGAGAGGCUGAAAGUUGGGAAUGCAAAGCUGGAGGAAAUAGACAUGCUUCAAGAGAUCACAAAGCAGAUUGAGGGACACACUAUCUGUGCAUUGGGUGAUGCUGCUGCUUGGCCUGUGCAGGGUCUUAUCAGACAUUUCAGACCAGAACUGGAAAGGAGGAUCCGGGAGCGUGCAGAAAGGGAGUUGCUGGAAGCUGCUGCGGCUUGAAUUAUUCACUGAGCUAUUUUCUCCCUCAAGUUGAUCUCGUAAUGUAAACAUCUAAAAGCACGAGUCUAGGGAAGUAAUAGAUGUGUCGGACACUGGAAUAAAGUUGAAAGAAACCGUUCUUUCAAGAAAAAGUUAAUGUAGAUUUCUGAAUAUUUGAAGAUACCGAUAUUAUGCUGGAUGAUUCAUCUAAAUCUUAGCUGUGAUUGUGUUUAUUAUAUCUCAAAGCUGGGAGCUACAUUUGAUCUGCGCUAGCUGAGAAUUAACCAGUGAUCUCAUUUCUUGUUUGAGUAUUAACCACCUGAACCUGGUAAAUAGGAGGGUUUGAAAAUGAAUGUAACAACAUUUUGAAAACCUUGGUACAUUUUGUGUCUUCUCCCUGUAAUAAAAUCGUCUUAGCUCCAGUAUUCGAACCAA
This is an RNA transcript of Nelumbo nucifera (sacred lotus), 2095 nucleotides long. It is a transcript of the gene named NADH dehydrogenase [ubiquinone] flavoprotein 1, mitochondrial, with no coding region annotated. Lineage: Eukaryota; Viridiplantae; Streptophyta; Magnoliopsida; Proteales; Nelumbonaceae. The record is from RefSeq and is a predicted model, not a curated record.